GUAGGUUCAUCACUACGAGCCAAACACAUUACACACUGACAUCUGAUCCCAGUGUUUAUGUAAAAUUAUUGAUUAUGGCAGCUUUAAAAGGUAGAGUCAGUGAUUCUAAUCCAAUACACAUUGCAAAUAUCUCCUCAUGGUCUGAUAGCUGUCUGUUCUGUGUGUCCAUACACAGCGCUCGCUCUGUAAAUGGGCAUGUAAACAGUGGUUUGGGCCAAGCCGCAAAACACUACUCCAGCCAAUCAGCAACAGCUCGUGCUCAUGCAAAGGGCAGGGGGAGGGGAGACGGGGUGGUAGGAGGAGCAUUAGGAGCAAGACGGACGGUAAAUCUGUAAAACAGCCAAAGAGGAGAGGAAGAACACAAAUUAAAGAAGAAGGGCUAUGAUCAGGCAAGGGCGAAGAGUUGAGAGUUGAAAGGCCUGAAGACGGAUGCAGAGGUUGCUUUGUUUCUGCUGGACAGAUGGUCAUCAGUUAUUUUGAAUGGAGGACACAGUCAGUGCAGAUGCAUUCAAUGACAUUACAAAUGCCACGUGGGAUCCGGAGGAGGACAAAGAGGAUUUGGAAGGUUUCACUGAGGAACUGAUGAUCCAGACCACAAACCAUGCAUUUGUGUUCACAGGACUGGUGGGGCUCUGAAAACAAACAUCUCUCUGGAUGCUCUUCCUGAAAUUAGCAUUGAAGAUAGAGUGCAUGAUAGUGAGGAUGAUGCAGCAGCAGACAUGCCAUCAUUUUCAGACACCAUAUGCCAUCCUGCAUAGAUCACGGAUCACAGCUGCUUGAGACAGCUUGUAGAAAACUUCCACCUACCUGUCAACACAUUCAAGACUCUGGACCUCAAGACCAGACAAUACUGUGGUGCAUUAAAUUGUGAUACAGUCAAGGAGCACUGCUGUAACUAUUGAACAGAUGUGUCCUCGAGGUCACAUUGUGUGGAGGUGGACUUCCCAAACCACUCUGAAGUAUGGGAUGCAUAUUGGAGACUUCCUUCUGUCUACCAAUAUCCUUUUGUCAUGAAACAACUAUGCCGAAAUAGCAUAACAGGACCAUGUUCUGCAGGAUCCAGGACCACUACUGUGUGGACGCAAUCAAUUAAUUCUGGGAAAUAAAGCAAAGAGACAUUAUUGCUCAGCUACAGUCCAAACAGAGUGUAGUGACACUGGAUAAGUUUGCAUUUUAAACAUUUGCUUCCACUUCUUAUAUUGGUCAAGAAGAAUUCGAUGUGCACACCUGCAGUGAGGUUUGUCACACAGCUCUGACUGUUGACUCUGUUACAUUUUGUGAUGAUGCCUUUUUAAUUCUGCGUUGGCUGGAUGGACAGUCCUGGAUUAUUGCAUGUAUUCUGCCACAGAGAAUGACACAAAGAAGAUAAUCUACAUCACCAACAUUGACAAGAGGGAGACUGAGAGAAACUCUGCUAUCAUGGAGCAGGAAGGAACAUUUGAGACUCUUCAUCAACAAGUCAAGCUGACUGAAAUAUGCACUGAUGCUCAUUCCCAGAUUUCAGAAGUGUUUGUGUAGAUGCGGUUGAUCUAACAGCGAUAUAUCUGCCAACUGGACUGUAAUUACUGUGUUUUAUGUACUAGGUUUGUGUUUCUUGUAUUUGUUCUCUCCAUACAGAUCCAGCCAGGAGGAAAUUCAAAGAUAAGGGGGUUCAGAACUCUCUUUAUGUGUGGCAGGGCUCAAAAAACCUUUCAAGAAGACUACUAGCAGCAAGCCACCAGAAGUGGAGCUUCAUCCUCUGGCAGUGGAGUAAAGACAUUUGCAACCAUUUCUGGUACUAAUGGAAGGUGGCUACAGAUGGCUAUGACAGCUUCUUUGAGAGCAUUCAUGGGCACUGGGUAGCGGCUACCAUGGUCCUCUGGUUGAGACCAGGGACAAGGAGUGGAUUGAAGUGGAAUCUGUGGCCCAUCAGAAACUUGGAGAAAUAAUUAUGGAUGCACAAUGUCUCAAGGUCAUCCCAAAGUAUCAGCAUUUCAGCAGUGUAUGACUGAGCUUUUGUGUGCGUAUAUAUAUAUAAAAUAUGGUCUGUUGACCAUAUAUUGAUUACUUGGACCUCUUUCAUCCACUGAAGAGCUUCUGAGGACAGAGGUCAGCAGAGGAAUAGAUGAGGCUUGGCUUGAGUCUUUCAAUAAAAUCAACACAAACUAUUCUUGCUCAACACUAUUGGUACAUUCUAACUUUCUAUGAAUGUUUUUCAUUGUACAUGUUACAUCAUGUUUCUUUAAGUUCAAAUUUGGAUCCAGUGUCACACCAAGACAUUUAAAAUCAGUGACUAUGUCAAUCCUUUCA
Molecule: long non-coding RNA, 2289 nt
Organism: Thunnus maccoyii (southern bluefin tuna)
Lineage: Eukaryota; Metazoa; Chordata; Actinopteri; Scombriformes; Scombridae
Exons: 7
Source: RefSeq, a predicted model, not a curated record